Molecule: long non-coding RNA, 12984 nt
Organism: Panthera uncia (snow leopard)
Lineage: Eukaryota; Metazoa; Chordata; Mammalia; Carnivora; Felidae
Exons: 2
Source: RefSeq, a predicted model, not a curated record
AACCAUAAAUGUUUUUCACCCAAGGCAAUUCACCCAAGAUCAGCCAAUCCAGAGCUACAGAACUGCACUUCCCCCUCCAACCCCCACCACCCCAACCCGGACCUGUAGAGCUGUGUGCAAUGAGAAAUGGUGUUUGUUUUCAGCCACAAAGCUUUAGAGUGGUUCAUUAGGCACCAAAUCCUAACUGAUAAAUAUCUGAAUGUAUUUCAUGAUCUUUUUCUUGCCUUUGGAGAGAUAAUUUAGGACAUAGUCUUAUAAAGAAAUGUUUACCUGAAAUUCAGCACAUCUAAUUAUAUUUUAGUUUCUUUUUCUUCUAUUAAAUUCAAGUGGAAUUAUGUUUAAUGGUUUUUAUUAAAAAUAGCUUUAAGAUGCCUGGAUGGCUCAGUUGGUUAAGUGUCUGACUUUGGCUGAGUUAUGAUCUCGUGGAACAUGUGUUCGAGCCCCGUGUCUGGCUCUGGCUGACAGCACUGAGCCUGCUUAGGGUUCUCUCUCUCUCUCUCUCUCUCUCUCUCUCUCUCUCUCUAAGUAAAUAAACAUUAAAACAAAAAAGAGCUUGACAGGUAAUAAGGAAGUGCUCACAAAAGGACAGGGGCAUAUUGAAAGGCUGUAAGAACAAUGUGGAUCCUGGAUUGGCUCCUGGACCAGAAAAUGGACAUUGGUGGGGAAACUAUCCAAAAACACAUAAUUGGUGUUCGGAUACUCUUUAACCGCCUCCCAUGUCUAGUUAUUAGUAUUGCCUUGAUGUUCAUCCUUCCAUUCAUUGUGUUGUGGUUGUGUAAGAGGCUACCAUAGGGGAAGUUGAGUGAAGGGCAAAGGGAACUUUCCUAAGUCUAAAAUUGUUUCAAAAUGUAGCUAGAAAAGAGCACAAAGAUGUAUUAAACAAUGUCAAGAGAAAGUUGGAUUUUGAUCUUACUUUUGAAAUAUAAAACUUUUCCUCAGUGAAAUAAAUGGAGACACAGGUAAAAAUAGCUAAUAACUAAUGCAGAUAGUAAGUAAACAUUGCUAUUAGGUGUAUGAUGGCUCCAAUGAAUAGUUUUAGAUCUGCAGGAUAUUCAGAGAAAGAAGUUUGUCGAGGUAAAUGUUUAAUGUCUGCAACCUAUUAUAUCUGGUGUUAUUAAUAUAUUGGUAAAUGUUUGGUCUGUCCAGGACCAAAUCGAUUGUACAUUCCAUACCAGCAGAAGUUUGUAUAUUCAUGACACUUUUAAAGUAAUUAUUAAUAUAUUUCCAGCCUAAUUUCAAAGAUUGCAUGUUACUUUAAUCGGAGGAAUAAGGAAAGAAGUCAAACACUACGUUACCUCUCGGAGGUAGCAGAACAUGACAAAUACAGAAUAGACAUCAGAAGGGGUGUAGUCUGCUUUGGCGAUGCACCAAGGAAAACACCGUUUGGUACAGGUUGAAAUAGCACUUUCCAUAGAAGAGGAGCAGUGUCUACACAUCACACACACACACACACACACACACACACGGAUAUAUUAUAUACAGAUACAAAUAUGUAUGUGUAUGUAUAUGGUCUCUAUAUAGUAUACAUAUUAUAUAUAUUCGUGUAUUUAUACUAUUCUUUACACCCAUUUUGGUGCCAUGACCAAAUGACAUCCAUAUCAUACACCACAUGCAAAACACACUUUUAAAUGUAUAAAUAAACAACUCCAACACAUUCCGAUUGUUUCACGAGGCAGCUAUUUUUUUUUUUUUUUAAAGCUGAGUAAUUCCGUACCAGGUUCAUUGUAGAAGAAGUCCCUGGUGGGUUCUGAAGCAACUAGAAAACAACAGAAACCUUAGAAACUUGUAACUGACAAAUCAAACUAUAUCCGGAAACAGUAUUGACUCAGCAGUAACUCCCACCAAGAAGAUUAUUUGUGUUUACAAAAGUUGUGUGUUAGGCCUCUCUAAUACUAUUGUCAAGUCAAAUGUCAAGAAUGUUAAUUAGUAAAAGGAAGGGGAGGCGGUCCCUGAGCACCAGCUCUCUGUAAACAGAGCGCUGCCCCUUGAGUCCCAAAGCAACUACAUGGAGGUGUUCUUUGUGCACAGGAAACAGUACAUGAUGAAGCAUCUAGUAAAGCAGAUGUGAAAAGUUGCCAUCCGAAAACGGUUUAUCAAAAGAGACACUCUUAUUGUAAAUUACCAAAAACUCGUUUCAGUUUGUUUAGCUCACCAACGCGUGGGUAUUCAGUACGUGAGCUUUAUUUCGGCUCUUUUCAUUGUGUUCAUCCCUUAUUUGAGCAGUGUGUGCCCUCUGUUAGAAGGUCUCUCCAGAGUAGAUUACAGAAUGCAGAGAUAUCUUUAUAGUCCACUGAUAAUUUUCCAGUUCUAAAUACUCUACUAUUUAGCCAUCAGCCUAUUAGCUCAGGUAUAAAACAGGGAAGAAAGAUACUCCCACGUUAAAACCAACAUGUUUUAUUUUCUCAAUGUUCCUAUCUCUUACCCUAUUGAGAUCUCAUGGCACAUGCAGAUGGCUGUGGAUUGGUUUGAUAAUUCUUUUUUUUUUUUUUUUUACUUCUUUUAGCCCUAGGAUUUAAUCAAAACCAUUUCUUUUGUGCAACAUCGCUCUGAAUUCAACCACAUGGGACCUGGCAAGCAAGUGUUGGUAACAGACCCUGCAUCUGUCUCGUGUCCAUCAAUGUCAUGGUUAGCUUGGAAGCUGACAAAGCAUCAUAAGUUUCUUCUCAAUCCAUUUAAAAUGAACCCCAGUUAAAAUAAAAAGUAACACAAAUCAAACAGGUUUUUUUGAAUAUUAAUUCUGUACGCACACUGUCAGAAUCAUAAAUGAGUUUUGCAUAAGGAGUAAAAUGAAAGAUAACAAAACACUUAUCUUUAGGAGGAAUGUCCACAAAUGGCUAUAUAUGUUACUGUGAAUUGUUCUUAAAAGUAAACCUUCUGAUGUAUUCAAAAUAAUUAAGAGUGGACAAAAAUCUCCCCACACCAAUGCAAUUAUGUACAUGUUCAGUAGGCAAAUAGUCACGCCUUGAGCUCAGAGUCUAGGAUACAAUCAUCAGUCAAUCCAUUCUUUGUUCCUUUCCCCCUUGUCUCCAAACUUUCUCUCACUACCUAAAUACCCACAUAGGAUUCCAAAUGGGUCCAAUAGCUCAUCUGGGCAAGCAAUAAUGUCCGGGACAUGCUCGUUAUUGUAUUUUAGGCAUUUGUUGACAAAGAUGUAUUGGGUGGGUUUGUUUUUGUUUUUUGUUUUUGUUUUUCUAUCUGGGGAUGUUCCACCUAUCCUGGCAUGGAAGAAAAACUGGGCUGAGGGGGUCCUGCCUCAGCCAGCAGGGUCACCGUCUACUCUGCAGAUGUUGGUGGAGUCUUAAGGAGCAUGAGGUCUUGAGACAGGGAAGAGACCCAGUGGUCUACUUUGCCUUCUAAUCUAAAGCCAAGUGUCUUAUUUUCAAUUAUUCCCAUUAAUAUCGUGCAGUCAGCAGCUGGGUGUAAAGCUCAGGACCUGCCCCGAGGGAUGGACAGCACGGUGGCCUGUAAGACCACGGCACCACCUGUGUGUUCAGAUGUCAUCCCUUCCCUCCUGAGAGCCAGGCCACCUGCCAGGCCAGCUGCAGAACCAGUUACUUCUACACCAUAUUUGACAUGGACAUAAGACAUGGUACUUUUCAUGACAGGAGGGAUGUCCACACAAGUUAUCAUCCAAACAGGACACUUUUGAAAGAGGCAACUAUUCAUAAUCAUAACAGGUCAACAGAUAUGAAUGGAGGCUGUCCCAGGCACACGGAGACACAUGGCUAUUAGCCAGAGGAAACUUUUCAGGAUGCCUACCUCUUCUCUUCAGUAGAUUUGCAAUGAAGACAUUCAUAGCUUCCCUGAGGCCCCACCUCUGGAGUUAUACUGCCUGGAAAUAUUUUGAGAAUGUACCUUGGGGCAAAACAGAUUUGUUGAAGAAAAUGUCCUCACAAAUGUGGAGCAAAAACUACAGAAGAAGCCGUCUUCCCCCUUUGCCCUCCCAGUGCGGUCGGAGGAGAUUCUAGAAUUAGAAACGAAACCAAAAAAUGAAAGACCUGAUCUGAGAGCUUAAUUCUCCCCUUCAGGAAACAAACACCCAGCGUGGCCAGUGGGUUCUUUAAAAACAUUCCCCAUCCAUUUUCCACCUUGUGUUCCUUUGGUCUGCAGUUGACUGGCUCUCAUUUCAUUUUUGGAAAAAAGUGAUUGUAUCUCCAGCCUAGAAACUUUGAUACACUGUGCCAUUAUCAAGGAAGUCUCCUACGUGGGGAUUGCACAUCUACCCUGCCAGAGCACGGCGGCAUGUGGUCCCGUAGACAUCAUUUUAUGCUUUCUUCUUGCUUUAUUUGAAAUACGUUUCAUGUACCAUCUCCAACAAAAAUGCAGUCGUUCAACAAGGAGAGAGACAGAGGGCCCUGAGCUGCCCAGGGAGAAGGCCAGGUCUGGGGCCGCAGAGUGGGGAGGAGUGUAAGUAAAGGCCUGCGCAGAGCGGCAAGAAAUAUUUGGCAUUCCUGGCUUCCCACAAAGGGUAGGUCACGGAGAGGGAACAAGCAGUUGGGAUGGAGUAUGUACACCACAACUAUUCUUUCUCAGGCCGCAUCCAGGCCACUCUAUCACAGCAACGUCCCCGGUGGGAAGACCCCGAGUUUACUCCACAGUGAGGGAAAUGCUCCGGGUAAUUACACACGAUGCCUGUCUAUACGCGGGAUGGGGUCAAUGUCUGUGGCAAAGACAGCUGCUGGUUUUGAGGCUGUGUGUUAAAUCCACUUUGGCUAACGACCGUUUAGUGCAUUUAAGGGACGGAGCACUGAGCAUCCCCUUCCACAGGCCCUGGUCAAAACAAAGCCCACUUCUUCGUGACGUGCCCACAGGUGGUCUGUUUCAGAGGCCUGCCAUCAGCUUCUUGGAUGGGGAUUUUGGAAGAAGAACCACGCUCGCUAUUUCCUGGGUAGUGAAUUAAAGACAUGCCUCUCUUCUCUCUGAAACUUUGGGAAAGAAAAAAAAAAACAAAACAAAACCACCGUCAUUCAUAACAACAUAACCACACAUACAUCAAGACAAAAAUAAUCAUUUAGUUGAAAAGAGAUUUUGUCAUCAGCAGGCUUUCUUUCUGCCCACCUCACUGGGCAGGGUAAUUUGGCCCCUGCAGCCAGAUCUAUAAAAUGCUGCAGUAAGAUGGCUUCACGAGGUUUCUCAGCCACGGGAAUUUCCAGCUACUGGAAAUACCCAAGGCCAGCGUAAGCUCAUUUAUUUUUCUUAAUUUGAGUGUCAGGUUAUAGACUAAAUAGCAGAUGCCUGAUGUUCUCAAGUGCUUGUGAGGCAAAUGUCACGGGACAGGACACGAAUGGAAGAAUGCAUGGAAAAUGGGACAUCAUGCUCCAGGGUCAGCAGGUGGGCAGACCGCAUGGAAACCUUCCCCUCGGAGUCACGGAGGUGAAGUUUCCGGGUGAUAAAUCUGAGAAGGUGCCUCCCGUUGCAGGGCUCAGAGCAGCAGGAUGGCCUUCUUGCCCCUUGUACGCUGUGGCCCCGUGGCCCAAGGAGAAGUGGUGGUUUGGAAAUCAUGUUAAGACUUCUCCAUGUGGCAAGAGUCGUUAGGGAGUGUUUUUGUUUUCUUCUUCUGAACAAGUAGUGUCCUAACACAGCGGCCACAUGUUUUGCAUUUCCUGUGACAGUCCUAAUUUCUAAUAUUUUUGUGUGCACAUCCUGAUAAGUAUACCAGGAUCACUUUCGCUCAGCAUUAGGUUCGGAAAACUUGGUGGCAGAAAUCUUAGAGCAUCUGUGUAUUUUACAGGAUGAGCAGAGGAGGAGAGAAGGGAAGGGGAGGCACGGAACCCCUAGUUCAGGACAGGUAACGUGCCAGUAAUCUGUACCGUUGGCAUGUUUGGUUCCCACAGGGGUGGGCAGCAUUGCUCUGGUUUUAAAAAUGAGGAAACCAGCUCAAAGGAGCUCGGCAGCUCACCCAAGGUGGCUGGCUAAGUAGCAAUGAUACCAAACUUUGGAUCCAGAUCUGACUCUAACACCCAUGGCUUCUCCACCUUUGGGAUUGCAAAUUCAAUGGAGAACGGAGUGUCUUUCAACCCCAUGUGGGGACUGGAACUCAAAGGGGUCCAGACACUUCAGUCAAGAUGCUGACUCUGCUCAGGAGGCACCCCCACACCGUCAGUGUCAUGUCACGUGCUUGAUGAUGGCACCAUGCUGCAGAGAUGGAGACAGUGCCAACGGUUGCCCUCCAACAGGUAGCGAGGGCUGUGAUGCUUUGCAAGGACUGUCGGCAAGGACAAUACGUUCCAUUCCAUAAAUGGUCACCGCGUACCUGCUACAUAGAAAGCACAAUGUUGAAACAUGCCGCCUUCCGGCUUCCAGCUUCUGAAAGAAGGAGACAGAAAACAACUAUCGUAUAAAAAAAAAAAAAUGCCAGUUGAUAGAUGCAAAUAAUAUACUCUGGCAAUUCCGAAGGGGAGUGAUAUCCCUGCAUCUAAUGGAGAGAUCAGUGGAAGAGGCAUUUGACAUAGGCCUUGAAGUAUGUGUAGGAGUCCAACGGACGGGUGGGGAAGGAAAAACAGAAGCUAAUAUGCUCAAGGAGGAGAACGGAAUCUGUCUAAACAGUGGUGAGUCAUCUAGCUCAUCUGGGUUGUGGAAUAUAUGAGAGGGAGUAGUAAUAAGGCUUAUUUUCCAGGCUUGCACUUCACCUUGAACUUCAGUCUGUGCAAGAUCCAUCACUUCUGGCUUGUCCUCCUGGGGAGAGCAGACACUCUCAGUCAGCAGGCGGCCUUGCCAGUGGGCAGGGGGCCGAGCAACUCUCCUGUGUGUGUGUGGAUGAAGGCCAGGGAUACAGGGGCAGCAGUGGUUUUUCCCCGGUGAGAAACUAGGCCUAGUUGGUGAGAACUAACCUCGCGGGCCUGGGAAGCUGAUCUGGCCCUGUUCCUGAACUCCUGCCUUCUCUGCCCCAAAGCUCUAAGCCCCUGGACAGAAGGCUGGGUCAGCUCUGCUUGCAGCCAGAGGACACUGAGAAGGCCACGUCUCACAGGUGCCCUUCUCUCAGGUCCCCAAAGCCUCUAGAGCCGACAGCCAGCAUCACUUUCCAUCUGGCCCCAGGCAAUGGCUACCUAGCAACUGAGCCAUAGACGUUUGCCCUUAGGAUAUAGUCUGAGUGUCGGUCUGAGGUUUAUUUUUUUUUUUAAUUUUUUUUUAACGUUUAUUUAUUUUUGAGACAGAGAGAGACAGAGCAUGAACGGGGGAGGAGCAGAGAGAGAGGGAGACACAGAAUCGGAAGCAGGCUCCAGGCUCUGGGCCAUCAGCCCAGAGCCCGACGCGGGGCUCGAACUCACAGACCGUGAGAUCGUGACCUGAGCUGAAGUCGGAUGCUUAACCGACUGAGCCACCCAGGCGCCCCUUGGUCUGAGGUUUAAAACCAAACCAAAUUCUGCCCCACUGCAUCUUCAACUGUUGACUUCUGGUGAAGUGUCUUCUAAAGGCACAAUCAGCCCUCCUGUGAACAGAAGCGAGCAAUUGAAAACCUUGCUCUCUGGGGCACCUGGGUGGCCUAGUUGGUGGAGCGUCUGACUCUCGAUUUCAGCUCAGGUCAUGAUCUCUCAGUUCAUGAGUUCUAGCCCUGCUCUGACAGUGUGGAGCCUCCUUGAGAUUCUCUCUCUUCCUCUCCUCUGCUUGGGCACGCUCUCUCUCUCUCUCUCUCUCUCACACACACACACACACACACACACACACACGUGCACAAAAAAUAAACUCUAAAAAAAAAAAAAAACCCACAAAACCUUGCUUUCACUCUUCCCUCAUUUCCUUGCCCUGUGAAAGCAUCUGGGUCUAAAUUGGGCCCCAACUUAUCAGUAUGAUGCUUGCUACCCAUCACAACUGACUGGGGAGUUGUUGGAAAUGCAAAUGCUGGGUUCACCCCAGGCUAAGAGAUAGGUCUGUGGGUUUGAUUUUAUUUUUAUGUAUGUCCCCCCAGGUGCCUGGGCAAAUGCCGUAUAACUUUGGAUAUCCACAUUUCCUGUUUGUUGCAUCCUAGAAUUUCCAGCUGGGACAAGUUCUGAACAUCAGCUAACACAGCACUUUCUAAAUUCAUGGGAGCAGGAUGCCAGUCUAGGAACUAGGGAGAUAGCAAGUAGCGUUUCCUCAGUGGAUCUGACUGGAAAUCAACUUCUCUUGGAGCAUAGAUUGGCAUCUCAUGCCUAAAGUACAGCAUGAGAAUGUUGGUCUAGUUCAAUCUCCUCUUUAUGCAUUUGAAGAAGGAGAACUGCUGUGCCCCAUGGCACAUAGCUCUAGACCCGCAGGCUCACUUCCCCUGCCGGUGCUGCUUUGGAAUGAUCCCUUCUAUUUCCCUGACUUGGGUGAGAAUGGCAUGUGUGAGCAGAUGAGACACUUGUGGGAAAACCAUGUUCUAGAAGUGUGUGAGGUGAUGUAUGCUGUUUUGACUUGGACUUUUUCUUUAAAAAAAAAAACUUGUUAUUUGAGAGAGAGAGAGAACUCGAGGGAGGGGCAAAGGGCGAGAGAGAGAGAGAGAGAGAGAGAGAGAGAGAAUCCCAAGCAGGUUCCAAGCUAUGAGCACAGAGCCCAACGCAGGGCUCGAACUCAUGAAUCGUGAGACCAUCACCUGAACCAAAAUCAAGAGUUGGACACUCAACCAACUGAGCCACCCAGGUGCCCCUAACUUAGACUUUUCCUGAGCAUUGCUUUGAGUCCGUAGCAACCACUGCCGUUAUAGAACAUCUUAGAACCACUGAAGAAAAGAGCAAUUCCAGAUUUGGGGACUUGGUGAGCAAAAAUUCUCUACUUCCUCCCCAGCUUGAGCACGGCUUCUUCAUUGGAGUCCAGGCGCCUAGAGCACAGGAGUCGACCUCCAGCCACAGGGACUAUCUAGGCUGCCCUGGGGUCACCAGGGGUAGCAGAAGAGACUAGGACGAGCCGCAGGAGCACAGGAAGCCGGGAGGCUGCCGUGGGAAGCAAGAGGAAGGUGGGAGGGGGGGCGGACAUAAUGUGACUGCUCUGGUCCCUCACUGGCUCACGUACUCACCUGGGCACCUGACACCGCAUGCUGCCAGCAAAGUGGAUCCUUCAUCGAAUGAUGCAAGGACUAUGAACUUAUCUGCUUUACGCCCUCAGGACAUCUAAGCGUGGUGCCUUGUUCCUACAAAUUGCUCUGUGAUUAUAUAAUGAUGGACCAAGAGUGACACAGCAGGGAACCUUUCCAUCUGCAGAGGAAAACUGCUCUUACACACACUGUCCCAGGGAAACCACCUUCUCUUCCAGAAGGCAAGCGUCUCUGGCUAUUUGGAACUGCCUGUUGACCCCCAUUCCUCUUCAGCCCAUUAGUCAGAGGUAGAGCUGCUCCUGGAUAACACCCUUACACACCCUUACACACACACACACACACACACACACACACUUAAUCUGUUAACUUUUGGAUCUUUGCCCAGAAGCCUCCAGAAGCCCAGACCCAAUCCUGGGUUCCCAGGUCCAAAAUUUUUGUAGCAAGAAAAAGCAUUCUCAUCUGAAACUUUUAAUAGUAUAUAAAUAAAGUGAUCCAGGCUCCAAAUGGCCCAGGCAAGGCCACCCCAUAUAGGGCCGUGAAUAUCACAAUAGGUGAUUGUUUUAAAGUGUUUUAAUGAGUCUCAAAACAUCCUACAUAAUAUCAGCCUCCACUCCAGUCCUCCUGACAGGCUCCAGUAAAUAACAUGAGUUGACAGGAAUAAAACAGCUUGCUCAGGAGUAAUUGAGUGGAAUUAGAAUGAACAGACAAGAAAGAAAAAUUGGUGCUUGGGUCACAAGGAACUUUUUGUUGGGAACGCCCUGGGGGAUUUGGUGGGAUGUGGCCCCGCUGACUAAUCACCAGUAUAGAAAGUUUACAGUCUCUCCACCAUGCCAGCGUCUUUAAUAACUUGAAAAGCACAAGAGGUGGCUGUUAAUUUCAAAGACAGUUAUAUGAAGCUUUUAUUGAGUGUGGCGCAGAGUAUAUAGUUAGCAGCCCGUGAGAUAAUGAACCCUUUAAAUAGGGUUUUCAAAAACAAAACCAUCUUAUUUUUGCUUGAGCCAAAAGAACAGCAAUGUUCUCCUGUUAUUUGAAAGCCGAAAAAAUAUAUAUAAAGUAGGAUCUCUCCAUUGCACACGAGAAGAGCCGCUUUCUUCACCAAGGGCGUGUGCCAUGCCAUGGAACCAUGGACACUUAGACGGACUCAGCUGACCUUGCCAGGACAUGCCUUUGCCGGGAAGCAAGCAGAUAGGGGAGGAAGGGGUUAAAUGUGAUGGCUGCCACCCUCAUGAGCAUUGGCUCCUGGGCCUUCUCUCCCUGACCUGGGCUGACAAUACUGGGAAGAGGUGGGGCCCCCUCUGGCCCCCCAGUGUCAUGAAGUGAGUAAACCAGAGAUCAAACCAGUGGCUUCUUGAAUUUAAAGAGAUAAAGAACCAACCUGUGAAAAAAGCAGGACUCCACAUGCCUCCCCUGGGCGUUCUGGGGCUGGAGACGGCGGGCCGGGAGCAGGGUGGGCAGACAUUGCCUGUCCAGUCUAGAACCACUUAGGAUGGCCUGCUCUGACCUCUCGACGCGGCACGUGAGGAAUGGACGCGGUGAAGUGAGCCGUUGAUGGGCCUGGAAUCUCCAAGCCACUGUGACCGGGGACCCUGCCUUCUCCCCCUGGCAACAUCUAUGAUUUUGACCCAUGGAGUACCUUGUGCUUUUAUCAUUGUCUCUCCCUCUUUCCCUCCCUUCCUCUCCUCCCCUUCUCCAUCUCUCUUCCUCCUUCCCUCCCUCUUCCCUCCCCUCCCCGACCCCGACUGCGCUAGAUGUAUACGUGCGUGAAGAGACUGAGAUGGAGAAACCGGUCCAGCCCACUUUAGAAGUCAUCUGUUUUUCCCUCACCCUAUCAUUCUUGCAUUCGAUGUUCAUUAACCCCUUGCCAAGAACAGGGCUUCCAAGUGUGAGCGAGGCAGACAUGGCUCCCCUCCCCCUCCCUCUACCCCCAACACACAGGCGAGUCCUACCUGGCCCAGCUGGCAGUGGUCAGGGGCAGCACUGAUGGACAGGACAGGUGCUACCCUGACUGCAGGACCGGGUGGGCCUGUUGCUGGUCUUUGCUGUGCCCCUCCUUCAUUCCACCGUGGGUGUGUUGUGACAAGGGCUUUGCCCAUAGGACCCCCUGGGCUGAGGAACAAUGCCACCAAAUCUGACUGACCAAGGACUGCAAAACAAAACAAAGAAACAGGGCUUCUCUCAGCCAGUCCUGGGGAGCAAAUAAUGUAAACAAAAAGAUUAAUUAAAGGAGAAUGAAUUAUUUCCUGCCUCAGCACUGGCAACAAGCAGAAUCUAAGAACUUAAUUCAGUCUUGUUAUUAGCAACAUAUACCCUGCUUUUUUUUUUUUUUUUUAAGACACACUUCUGUCCCUCGCGUGAUAUGGGGAAUUUAGCCAUUUCCAGGAGUUUUUUCUGCAAAACAUGCAUCAAGUUGGAUCUCUUCCCAAGCUGUAAAUUCUUGCUAGCCCAGGAAAACUCCUUCUAGAAGCUUUUGGGAUCUGGUGAGCCCUGAAGGAAAACUCCCAGCCUCACUCCUUUCCAGCAGUUUGGGAACAUGCUGGAGCUGGGUCUGUGGGAGUCUGGAAUGCUUGCUUAGGAAGGCCCUUUGUUGGCCACAUCGCCUUGGAGCCACUUGCAGAUUCCCGCUGGUCUAGGAUGUAUCAAGAAGCCAGAGAACAACCUUGUUUUAGGAAAAGAGGGAACUGCUUCUUCUAACGCUGUCAGGAAGCAAAACAGUCAAAUUUGCUUUUCCGGAGGUCUGAACAGAGGCACGGAUAUUUGAAUGAAUGCACUUUCAAAGUCUCGAUGCUCUAAUUGCCAGUGGUCCCCAGUCCUUGCGGUGUCGUAGAAGCACCUGAGAAUGAGUCAGAAUAUGAGCUGCUCUUCUCCAUGUCCUGUCUCCCCCACAGGAAGCUUCUUGUGUGGCACCUAGGAAUCUGGAUUUUCAAGAAAGUCCGUAAGUGAUCGCUGUGCAACCAGUACAGUGCCACCACCCAUGAAGUGACGGCAAGUACUGUCACCUAGGGGCUGCCCACAUGGCAGGGACAGCAGAAGGAGCUAAGAUUGAGAUGUUCUGGAGAAGCUCUUUCUUAGGAAAGGUGAUCUUGGGGGUUCGGUUAGGCAAGGGAGAGAGAACGUUCAGUCCGGGGUGCUCCUGAGUCAAAGCCAACCAUCACCUUCUUAAGGAUGUCAGCUUGCUGACUCGCCAUCCUGGGUAGCUUAAUGGGCCCCCAGCAGCCCCCAGAGAGGAGGUCAGCUGGAAGACGAGUGCUGGAAAUACCAGCACGUGACAAAUACUUCUGCUGGAGAGCACUGGUGAGAUUCCCUGAGGACGCCCUGUGAAUCACCCUGAGUGGCAAGGCCAAGGUCAAGAGGUGGGUGUUUCUGGUCAACCCGAGGCUUCACAAAAUCAUUUCCUUUUGCCUUCACUUCAGACCUCACCUGUCAAUGUGGCUUCUGCCAGGUACGCAUGUGCUUUCUGCCCAAGGCUCCUCGAGCUGCCCAGUGCUCACACAGCCAGGGUGCGAACAAGCCUGUACUGAGCCAUCCCUUUGGGUUAGAAUGAAUGCUCGAGAAAGGCAGGAGGCAUUUCUGACCUUUUUGGAGUUUCAGUAAUCUCCCCUACAAGCAUUUGACUAUGAAUCUUCUGGGCAAGGAAGAAGCUUGCUUCCUGAUGUAGAGCCCACUUUUCCACAGGGAAAGAAAUAGCUUGUGAGCUCAUAUCCAGGGUUUGCCCUUUUUAACAGCAAAACACAGUUACGUGACCAUUCAGAGCUUCUCUUCUAGCCAACAUGGGGCGUGGAUGUCUGAAGUGGACAGGCUACCUGUGCCUCGAGCCCCGGGUGGGUCAGAACCAUGAUGGGAUCCGCCUUGGCCUUUGGGAAGAUGGCUCUAUGCCACCGGGUACUCAGGAAGCUGGGGACAAUGCGACACCAGUCCAUCAACAACUAUCUACUGAGCCCCUGCCAUUGUCAGACACUCUUCCGGACUGUGUGUCUUACGAAUUGACUUUGAGAGCA